GCACAUACUGUUCUGAUACAAUACAAGACAAUAACUUGAAAAUAAAACCAAAAUGAGCAUAUAUGGUACCAACUGACAACUCUUCAGAUAAGCAAAUACCAUAUCAAAAAAUGGGAAAAAAGAUGAAACAAAAGGGAACACGCUGUUCUCUGGCAUCAUCUACAGACACUAGACAACAAUGCAAACCAAAACACCAACUACGACGAAAAACACAACCAUCCAGCUAAACAAAUAGCAAAACCCAAACAGAUUCUGCAACAGAACCGAAGCAGCUUACCAACACUGAUAGCUCAGAAGCAUUUCCGGUGGACAAUCGAU
RNAcentral lists this unclassified non-coding RNA (318 nucleotides) under Hevea brasiliensis (rubber tree). Lineage: Eukaryota; Viridiplantae; Streptophyta; Magnoliopsida; Malpighiales; Euphorbiaceae. The record is from RNAcentral.